Molecule: ribosomal RNA, 403 nt
Filed under: uncultured Wolinella sp.
Lineage: Bacteria; Pseudomonadati; Campylobacterota; Epsilonproteobacteria; Campylobacterales; Helicobacteraceae
Description: bacterial SSU rRNA
Rfam family: Bacterial small subunit ribosomal RNA
Source: RNAcentral
AAGUCUGAUGGAGCAACGCCGCGUGAGUGAUGAAGGUUUUCGGAUCGUAAAACUCUGUUGUAAGGGAAGAACCAGUACGUCAGGCAAUGGACGUACCUUGACGGUACCUUAUUAGAAAGCCACGGCUAACUACGUGCCAGCAGCCGCGGUAAUACGGAGGGUGCAAGCGUUACUCGGAAUCACUGGGCGUAAAGAGCACGUAGGCGGCCUUGCAAGUCAGAUGUGAAAUCCAACGGCUUAACCGUUGAACUGCAUUUGAAACUGCAAGGCUAGAGUAUGGGAGAGGUAGGUGGAAGUCUCGGUGUAGGGGUAAAAUCCGUAGAGAUCGAGAGGAAUACUCAUUGCGAAGGCGACCUGCUGGAACAUUACUGACGCUGAGGUGCGAAAGCGUGGGGAGCAAACA